GAUGAACGCUAGCUACAGGCUUAACACAUGCAAGUCGAGGGGAAACGAUAGAGAAAGCUUGCUUUUUCUAGGCGUCGACCGGCGCACGGGUGAGUAACGCGUAUCCAACCUGCCCACCACUUGGGGAUAACCUUGCGAAAGUAAGACUAAUACCCAAUGACGUCUCUAGAAGACAUCUGAAAGAGAUUAAAGAUUUAUCGGUGAUGGAUGGGGAUGCGUCUGAUUAGCUUGUUGGCGGGGUAACGGCCCACCAAGGCGACGAUCAGUAGGGGUUCUGAGAGGAAGGUCCCCCCANAUUGGAACUGAGACACGGUCCAAAACUCCUACGGGAGCAGCAGUGAGGAAUAUUGGUCAAAUGGACGAGAGUCUGAACCAGCCAAGUAGCGUGCAGGAUGACGGCCCUAUGGGUUGUAAACUGCUUUUAUAAGGGAUAAAGUGAGUCUCGUGAGACUUUUUGCAUGUACCUUAUGAAUAAGGACCGGCUAAUCCGUGCCAGCAG
This 499-nucleotide ribosomal RNA is filed under the name uncultured bacterium. RNAcentral's name for it is "bacterial SSU rRNA". It matches the Rfam family "Bacterial small subunit ribosomal RNA", at positions 28 to 514 of the family's 1533-position model. The record is from RNAcentral.